RNAcentral lists this ribosomal RNA (489 nucleotides) under Triticum aestivum (bread wheat). RNAcentral's name for it is "partial small subunit ribosomal RNA". The record is from RNAcentral. Lineage: Eukaryota; Viridiplantae; Streptophyta; Magnoliopsida; Poales; Poaceae.
AUGCGCAUGCCGGUGCUCGUGUUCGCGCUCUUCAACGAGAACGUCAAGGGCGGCCCCGGCACAGAGCGGCACUGGGGCCUCUUCUACCCCAACGGCAGUGCGGUGUACGAGGUCGACCUGACGGGGCGCCGGCCGGCGGCGCCGUACCCUCCGCUGCCGCCGGCCACGAACGACCUGCCGUACCCCGGGAAGCUGUGGUGCGUGGCGAGGACGGACCGCCACGGGGCGGUGGCGAACGAAACGGCGGUGAGGGAGCAGGUGGCGACGGCGUGCGCGGACGAGGCCGGGCUGUGCGACCCCGUGCGGCCCAGCGGCGGGUGCCACCUGCCGGACACGGUGGCCGCGCACGCGAGCUACGUGUUCAGCGCGCACUGGAACAGGUUCAGCAAGCAGUACGGCGGGUGGUGCUACUUCGGCGGCCUAGCCGUGGAGACGACCGUCGAUCCCAGUCAUGGAUCGUGUAAAUUUCCCAGCGUUACACCAGGCUGA